This is a non-coding RNA of Paramuricea clavata, 1480 nucleotides long. The record is from the annotation of a GenBank genome assembly. NCBI's taxonomy places the organism in Eukaryota, Metazoa, Cnidaria, Anthozoa, Malacalcyonacea, Plexauridae.
CGAAGUAUUUGUACACUGAGACCGAAAAGAUUGCGAAAAAUUUCCCACGAGUUUUGCACAAGAAAGUUAUAUUAAUUGUUCUGGUGGUUUUAUUAAUAUAAAUAUGAAGAAGUCAUCAGGAAAACCUAGCAUAAAAGGCAAACCUAUGGGAAUCAAAGACCAUGUUUUAGAUUUGUAUAGAAAUCCUUCUAAAUGGUGAGUGAAUGAAGUUGUACUCUGUAUAUUAGUCGAGAUAUUAGUGGACUGGUAUUAACCCUGUAAGUGGCAAUGCGCCCUGAUGCACCCUAUUUUAUUAUUUUACUCUGUCUAACGCCAGAUGAUUUAACUCGUCAAGGGGAGUGUGCUGCCACUUAAUGAGUUAAACUUGUUGACAUAUUUCUGAAUUAUAUGGCUCCCCCCACCCUGUAAAUAUAAAUUUGGCCUUUGCCAAAUCACCAAAACUAUUAUUAGCUAUAUUUCAGCAUAAUUUCUUGCUGACCAAAGGUCAUCAUUCCCACAAUGUCAUUUUCACAAUGUUUUAACAUGAUCAUGAAAAGAUAACAAGUUUUCCCAAGCGAAAAGAACCAUCCGCGGUUUUGUUAAGAACUUUCACCCAUUCAUGUUCUUUGGGCUCAAGACCCUAAUUGAAAACUAUUUAAUUCCUGUUUACAGGAGAUUUAUCAAGCAUACAUCAAUAUUCAUACUAGCAGUGUACGGAGCUAGGUCGUUUUCCGAUAUAGACCUCAUGGCGCCACCCCAACCACUACAAUAAGAAUGUAUAUUAAAUAUAAGAAGAAUUCAAUGGCAGGUAUGUUCCAGGGUUUUCAGAAAUUUAUUUUAAGAAUGGAAUGGUUCCGGUUAUGAGGCUCACCAAGGGGUUAUAACAGACAGGCAACAUUCCUUAAUUAAAAAGAAGUGACAGACUAUCUAAAAAAGAGCCACAAAGGACAGCUUAUGGGAAAAAGUGACAAAUUGUGAUUUGUGUUAUGGGUCAAAAGUGACAGUGACAUUUAUUUCAAUAAAACAAGCAACAAAGCGGCUACAAAAUGAGUGCAACCUAGGUUACACCCUUGGUGGGCCUCUGUUAUGAACUAGUGAUAAUUUCAGUUUCAUAAUAAAAGUAAUUUUUAUGCAGUCAAAGUAAAUGUGAAAUUAUUUUUGUUUUUAGCUAUGAAGGGAAAGAUUUGAAAUUUGGCAUAUCAUUCAGUGGUUUUAGCAAGAUUGUCCAUUUUAUUUCUUUUCACUUUUUCCAAGAGUAUUACUUGGUAGUUGUUCAAUUUAUGUAGUACAUACUGUAACUUGUGAUUAAUUUUGAUAAAAUACAGAAAUAAAGUAGAUUUCUUGUAAAUUAUUAGUAAUUUAUUGUUACUUUUGUUUGUGCAGUUGAAUCUCCUGACUGCUUCCAUUUUCCUCCCGUCAAGUUGACGACUCUGUUUUUAGAUUUGAUCAUGGCUACUCUUUAUAAUCACAACGGUUCUGCGCGACCUCCGGGGAAAACCUG